ACUCUUUGAUGCUACAGGCAGUGCAUCAGUCUCUCAAACUGAAGGUCCUGAGUUCGAUCCUCAGAAGGAGGG
RNAcentral lists this transfer RNA (72 nucleotides) under Monodelphis domestica (gray short-tailed opossum). It matches the Rfam family "tRNA". Rfam says of the family: Transfer RNA (tRNA) molecules are approximately 80 nucleotides in length. Their secondary structure includes four short double-helical elements and three loops (D, anti-codon, and T loops). Further hydrogen bonds mediate the characteristic L-shaped molecular structure. tRNAs have two regions of fundamental functional importance: the anti-codon, which is responsible for specific mRNA codon recognition, and the 3' end, to which the tRNAs corresponding amino acid is attached (by aminoacyl-tRNA synthetases). tRNAs cope with the degeneracy of the genetic code in two manners: having more than one tRNA (with a specific anti-codon) for a particular amino acid; and 'wobble' base-pairing, i.e. permitting non-standard base-pairing at the 3rd anti-codon position. Lineage: Eukaryota; Metazoa; Chordata; Mammalia; Didelphimorphia; Didelphidae. The record is from Rfam by way of RNAcentral.